This 253-nucleotide ribosomal RNA is filed under the name uncultured bacterium. RNAcentral's name for it is "partial 16S ribosomal RNA". It matches the Rfam family "Bacterial small subunit ribosomal RNA", at positions 524 to 776 of the family's 1533-position model. The record is from RNAcentral.
UACGGAGGAGGCAAGCGUUAUCCGGAAUUAUUGGGCGUAAAGCGUCCGUAGGUGGUUUAGAAAGUCUGCUGUCAAAGGCUGGGGCUUAACUCCAGACAGGCAGUGGAAACUACUAGACUAGAGUGCGGUAGGGGCAGAGGGAAUUCCCAGUGUAGCGGUGAAAUGCGUAGAUAUUGGGAAGAACACCGGUGGCGAAAGCGCUCUGCUGGACCUGUACUGACACUGAGGGACGAAAGCUAGGGGAGCGAAAGGG